This is a long non-coding RNA of Dreissena polymorpha, 201 nucleotides long. RefSeq lists it as uncharacterized. The record is from RefSeq and is a predicted model, not a curated record. The transcript is spliced from 3 exons. NCBI's taxonomy places the organism in Eukaryota, Metazoa, Mollusca, Bivalvia, Myida, Dreissenidae.
UGUAAAAUAAUAUCCUUUAGUGUCACUCUAUGUAGGUUAUUGUACAAGAACGUCCUUCAGUGUCACUCUAUGAAGGUUAUUGUACAAGAACAUCCUUCAGUGUCACUCUAUGAAGGUUAUUGUACAAGAACAUCCUUCAGUGUCACUCUAUGAAGGUUAUUGUACAAGAACGUCCUUCAGUGUCACUCUAUGAAGGUUAUU